Molecule: long non-coding RNA, 545 nt
Filed under: Physcomitrium patens
Lineage: Eukaryota; Viridiplantae; Streptophyta; Bryopsida; Funariales; Funariaceae
Description: long non-coding RNA (PPAT_LNC000965)
Source: RNAcentral
AUCGAUCCAUCAUCUCUGCCUCCAAAACAUUGUCAAUUUGGAGACAUAAAAACUUGAAUCAAGAAACAUAAUCUUGGACCGACUUUUAUGGACAUACAACUAAAGAAGGUUCAAGAAGGUUCUAGGAGGUUCUAAAAGAUUUUAAGAAGGUUCUUAUAGAUCCUAAAAAGUUCUAGUAGGUCCUAAGAAGAUUUCAAAAGAUUCUAGUAGUUUCUAAAAAAGUUAUAGAAGGUCAUAUGAGAUCUUGGAAGGUUCUAGAAGGCUUUAGAUGAUUUAGGAAGUUGCCGAAGAAGGAACUUAUGCUUGCUUUCUUCUCAAGCCUCAUAGAAACUUUUCAAGAAGCUUCAUUGGAUCUAGUAUAUAUAGCAGUCAAGGCUAAAGGAAUCUUCAAUCCCGAAAAUUUACUUCUUAUGGUCUAACUAAGACCUCGCAUUCUAUCCAAUUAUUGUUCUAAUCUUCAGCUAACUCCAUUUCUUCGUCUUGAAUCCUUAUCUUAUAUAUGGUCCUUAAUAUUGACCUAGAUUGUGUGAGAUUUAUUAAUUAAU